GCUGGAGGUAUCAGAAGUGCGAAUGCUGACAUAAGUAACGAUAAAGCGGGUGAAAAGCCCGCUCGCCGGAAGACCAAGGGUUCCUGUCCAACGUUAAUCGGGGCAGGGUGAGUCGACCCCUAAGGCGAGGCCGAAAGGCGUAGUCGAUGGGAAACGGGUUAAUAUUCCCGUACUUGGUGUUACUGCGAAGGGGGGACGGAGAAGGCUAUGUUGGCCGGGCGACGGUUGUCCCGGUUUAAGCGUGUAGGUGUGUGUUCCAGGUAAAUCCGGUUCACUUUAACACUGAGGCGUGAUGACGAGGCACUACGGUGCUGAAGCAACAAAUGCCCUGCUUCCAGGAAAAGCCUCUAAGCAUCAGGUAACAUCAAAUCGUACCCCAAACCGACACAGGUGGUCAGGUAGAGAAUACCAAGGCGCUUGAGAGAACUCGGGUGAAGGAACUAGGCAAAAUGGUGCCGUAACUUCGGGAGAAGGCACGCUGACAUGUAGGUGAAGUGAUUUACUCA
This 506-nucleotide ribosomal RNA is filed under the name Salmonella enterica. Its description in RNAcentral is "partial 23S ribosomal RNA". It matches the Rfam family "Bacterial large subunit ribosomal RNA", at positions 1272 to 1773 of the family's 2925-position model. Lineage: Bacteria; Pseudomonadati; Pseudomonadota; Gammaproteobacteria; Enterobacterales; Enterobacteriaceae. The record is from RNAcentral.